CGGUGCGGCAGUGCGCGUGAUGGCUGUGCCCCCUCAGGGGCUCCUGCGGCCCUACCCGCCCCCCCGUCACAUCCCGCUGAGCGGCAAGUAACAUAAUGCUCCUUAUCCCUUCGUUCUGGGCUCAUUCGCCGCUAGUGGUCAGAGCAGCCGUCCUCAAUGGUUGGUCGCUCUGCGUAGUGUUCAGAAGAGAUUAAGAAAAGGCAUUUGUUCCCUGGUGUGGAACCCCUUCAGAUUUUGGCAGCAGAGGCGCCUGCAUAAGCUGACUGAUGACAGGGGCUUCACUGUUCACCACUACAAUAGAAAUGUAUCCUUUUCUUCACUAACAGAGGAAGACAUUUAAAAUCUGCCAGUCAUGGGAAUCAUAUGAAUGGUUCUGUGGAGCCUGACCCAAGAUUGCUGAACUCAUGGCUAAGUGCAGAAUUGGACCUCAUGCUCCAGAAGUGAAAGGAAGGAAGAAAUUGUCAGUGAGUCUGAAAAUGACAAGAGUAUAAACUGAACUCUCAGGGAGGGCAAAAUCACUGGAGAGAAGAUGAACAAUUUAUAUCCUUUGUUCACUGUGGAAGAUGGGUUUGAUAACCUUGACAGGAUUCCAGGUGCCCACCAAGGCUGCUCUAUCACAGCACUCCUCAUCUGGCCAGGGGAGAGAAAAUAUAACAAAAGGCUCAUGAGUUAAGGAUAGGGAGAGAUCACUCACCCAUUACCACCAUGGGCAAAACUCCUCCCUGUCCUUCUGCACUGACCUUGGUGUUUGCAGAGUUUUUUUCUGUCACAUACUUUCACUCCUCUCUGUGGCUGCAGUUGUGCAGGGCUGGUGGUUUCACUUUCCUAAAUACAUGAGCCCAUAGGCAUUACCACCAUCACUGAUCAGCUCAGCCUUGGCCAGCGAUGGGUCCAUCUUGGAGCUGCUUGGCAUUGACUCCAUCAGACAUAGGGGAACCUUCUGGCAACUUGUCACAGAAGCCACCACUGUAGCCCUCCCCUUCUACCAAAACCUGGCCACACAAACCCAACACGAAGAAAUCAGGGAAAUUAUCCUUCCAGAGUCCUUUUGGGGUAUUCAGGGAACCUGGCAGAGAUUGUCUCUAAAACUGAAAUACUUGGAAGUGUAAGGGUACAAAAGGCAGGUGAAAGCAGAUGGAUCUCCAGGAUCUGAAGAAUUUACCCAUUAAUUCUAAGAAAACUCAAGGAUGAAAUAUCUACUAAAAGCAGCAUGUAACAUAUCUUUUCACUGUUCCUCAGUACAUGAAAAUCAGGUGUCAAACGUGAUGUCCAUCAUUAGAAAAGGUUCAAGGGUAUCCAGCAACUUAAAACUGACACCUGUUCCAGGUGAAUGACUAGAUAUUGUAAGAGAGAGAAUUAGUAUCUACCUGAAAAAAUAUUAUCUUAUCAGUGAGAAUUAAUAAAGCUCUCAGAGUUCUUCUAAAAGGGUCAGAGAUAUAUAAAUGAGGAUCAUCUGACUGAUAGAGUCAACUCAGGUUUUUAAAAGACAUCUGACAGAAUUUUUUAAUUGACGUGUUUUAGGAAAAUCAAGCAACACAAAACUGUCACUGGCAUAAGAAGGAAGAUGCUGAAAUGGAUUAGAAUAUGAUUUAAAAUAUGGGAACAUAGAUAGAUCAUCACUGGGUGGAAGAAAAUGGUCAGUUCUUGCACAGGAGGGAGAGCACAGACAGAAUUCCAUACUAUUCCAUAUAUUCUCAAAUGUCCUGAAGAAGGGAGGUUAUCAGCAAGGUGACAAGGCUUUGCUGCCUAUAGAAGGUUAUGCAAAGCAGUUAGGAUGAGGAAGACUGCGUAGCCUACAGAAAGAUUAACUGUACAAAAAGCAAGGUGCAAUUCAGUAUAGAUAAUUGUAGAGUGGUACAUUUGGGGAAGAAUAAUCCUAUCUUCACAUCUUGGAUAAUUUCUAAGCUGACCCAAAGAUCUUCAGGAACAACACCUUUGCAUUAUGAUAGACAGUUCCAUGAAAAUAUCACUUAGCAGUAGUAAUUCAAGAAAAAAAAAAGUUGGGAAUGAUUACAAAAUAAAUAGAGAAUAGACCAGAAAGGUUUGUUUUGUUCAAGUCUGUUCAAGUCCAUAUGCUACUGCAAAAAUCCAGGGUUCUGGUCCAUUUAUCUGGGACAGGAUACUCCAGAACUGAAAUUAUUCGAAGAUGACCAAGGAUGGUCAGAGGUAUACUGUGAUUGCCAUUAUAACAUGCAAGAACCCAUCCAUUGAAUAUCCAUUAAUCUUAUUUGGAAAUACACGACAGAGUGGGAAGGUAAGAAGGAGUUUGCAGAGCUGAGAGGUCUGGAGAAAAGUAGAGAGGGAUUGACUUUUUCCUGGCUCUUCUAAUUCAAGCAUGAAGGAUAUUGGAUGACAGUAAAAUCUGCAUUCAAAACAAACCAGAGGAAAUAGUUCUUCAGACAGCCUAUGUGGGACCUGUGGUGGUACUCCUCAAAUGACUUUCUGGGUCAAGGAAUUUGUAAAGAGACAAGGAGAGACUGGAAAAAAACUUUGGAAGAGAUGCUGCAGAGUCCACUAACUAGAUAAAUCACAUAAUCUGACUUGAAAAUGUUUGAAGGCUGGGAGGCAGUAUGUCCUUACACUGUUCUGUUUUUCCUGAGUGUCCACUCCCAUGGCUACUGUGGGAGAUGGAGCACUGUGCUAGAUGAACCUGUGGUCUUAACCAGUAAGUUCAUAUAUAAUCUUCUCAUUGUACACCAAAGUCAGAAUUAAAUAAAUGAAAUUAUUAACAGCUUAAAUAUAUUUAUGGCUUUCAAGCUCCCUAAGUAAAUGUAAUGCUAUGAGAAUUAAGGACCAGAAGGAACUUUAAGAUCCUAAUCCACCGCUUUGUUCCAUGGCAAAAUCAAUUACAUUGGUGUCCUUAGUGACAAAUUUGUCUUACCAGUUCCUAAAGGUUUCAAUGAUGGAGACUCAAUGGCCUCAUAAUUAAUCUAUGUAAAUCUCACUAUUCAUACUAUGAGAAGGAUUUUUCCCUGUCUAACUGGAAUCUAGUCAGCUGUUGUUUUCUGCAAACCCUUAGCUGCAAGCCUGAGCUAAGACUGGAGGCGUCCUAGACUUCUGAAGAAUGUUUUCCAGUAACUUCCAUGACUCUGGAAAUAGCCUGAACACAGACUUGGUUUUUAAUGUAGCUCACAGUUACUUGUUUUUUAGUUUGGUUAACACGACUGAGCAUGGUCAGGGAUUAUUUCUGUAUCCUUUUACAAUUUUUCUUGUUAUUCUAAUGUCUUAUCUCUUUAGCAUCUUCUGGCUUCAGGUAAACUUUCUAAACACAAUAUGUUUUGAGUUAGCUGCAGCAAAACCAAUUUGAAAGGUGUGUCUACAGAAAAAGUGGAACAAAAAGAUUUCUUUUAAAAUAUCACUGAAAACCAGCAUGUAGUUUUUUAUUUCCUGGAAGGUCUAAUUCUGGUUUUGUAAUUCACUGUAGUUCUGUAAUUCACUGAACUGUAUGUGUUUGAGAUUAAAUGUUUGAUCCUUCUUACAUGAUGCUACUCAGUUCAAGCAAACUCUGCUUCUUGCAAAUGAUCAUUAAUUGCAUUCUCCAUUCUCCAGGUACCUGAUUUGACAACAGGGUUCUGCCUGGCAUAAAUGUUAAGCACCUACAGAGUCAACUGAAGUUGAUGUGGGCUGCUCUAAUAAAACAUAGUGUGCUCUGAGUUGUGUAAGCCUUUAUAAAAAAUCAGCUCAAUUGGGGCAUUUUAGCAAAACCUCUUAAGCUUUAUUUCCUUGUUCUCAGUCUCUACUCUCCAAUGUAAGAGCAUUGUCUUCUCACUUGCCAUGAAUUGUGAAAAUCAGUUUGUUGGUACAAGUGAAAUACUGGAGCAGGAGUGGUAGCCAUUCUUAGGAGACGAAUGUCUGUGAACAGGGUUUAAAUUAAUAAAAACCCAUGAGGUGAUAUGAGGAUCUAAAAGGGGGAAAAAAAGUGUUAAAUAUGCUCCUCACUGGUGAACACUGACGAUUCUUUGUACAGAAUGAAACAAACAUCCUGUGGAAAAACAGUGUGUCACGAUGUAUUUGAAGACUUCAUCGCGCUGUGGAUUGUGCAAAGAUUGCACAAGUGCUUUGAUUUUGGUGAUUUUAAACUCAUUGCAAGGCUACAACCUCAGUGAUGAACUUUCAAUACAGGUUUGCAAAGGUAUGUCAUGUAAAGGUUUAUUUGUAGGUUGUAAAGUCUAGCAGUUUCAAUGAAACAACACUGUUGUCAGUCAGCACAUUGGCCCAGGGAAGAAAAUAUUGCAUUUCUUUUCUUGAAGAUGGAACUUACAAAAAAUUACCACUAUGGUAAAUUACCCUUUAUUCCUAGUUCCCUGUAAUUUAAGAAUUUGUAAAAUUGUUCCUAUUUGAAUGUUGAACUUGAUUGGUUAUGCCAAGGAUUGCAGAACAAUUUUCAGUUUCUCAUACAGAGGAGGAUGAAUGAUAGUUUUCAGUAGCUUCAGUCUGUCUUCUGGCUCAAAAAAUUCAAAGUGAUCAUGUUCACACUGGAAUUCUUAUAAAUGGCUGAUAUCUAUACAGGAAUUGCCUUGGAGAAAAAAAAAAAAAAAAAAAAUCCCCUGACCGCUUCCUCAUUACCAAAGCUGGGCGUUUGAUUUCAGUGGUAGGGGAUUUUUUCCUUGUUUCUCUGUGAAUUCAGGCUAUUCAUUUGAAAUGAGGCAGUUAUUACUGAGAAGCAGUGGGCUACUCAGUUUAAGAAUGACUAAAGAAAUUUAAGUUUCUUAAUGUAUAUUUCUAGUGAAAGCUUCAAGGAUUCUCCAGAAUCAUCUCUCUGAGAUUUUUCCUAGUGUCUUUCCUUCUCAUUGUAUCCUCUCCACUCCCCUGCCUCCCUCAGUUAUUCUCUUGAGAGCAGUGUGACAGAUCAAAGGCUGAGAUGGGGCCUAUGCCUGGAGUGAUGACUUUCCUUUCCCCUUCAGCCUCUCUGCUAGCUAUCUCCAUGGGUGUCUCCUACAGCUGUUAGCAUCAGAACUAGACCUUCAAAUUAACAGAAGGACAUAACUGUGGCAUAUCAGAAUUAAUUCUCUGAAUUCUUCCUAAACUAAGAUGUAUGGUAAUAAUACUGAUCUGAUAGGAUAGUGUGUGGACAACAAUGCCCAUUUAUGGCAUUUACUUUUCUUCUUUGUGUUCUUAUUAUGGCAUAUCUGUUAUCAGAAUAGGAGGGAACAAGUCCACAUUUUGCAUUCCUUCCCCAUAUUUUUCCAGCCCUCAUUCAGCAGAGUACUUAGGUGUGUGUGUAUCUCAAUCCAUUUGCCUGUCCUUUUAUAAUAAAUGCUGAAUUGGGGCUUUCAGUGUUGGUCACAACUGGAAAGAUUUUGUAAAAAUUCUGAUUUGGAUUCCCCAUGUUCUACAACUUGACAUGUACAAGCUGGAAAAUGUGUCUUGAGGGUGUUUUGGUUUUGUUUGUAUUUUCACAGAGUGAUCACUCCAGUUCCUGCAGUGCCUCUGAAUCUGCCUUUUGCAAUUUGAACUUGCUUUCUUUGUUGCUUCCCCUUCCUCCCUUUAUUGUUUAGUUCUUAUGUUCCUCUGAAGCUUUGAUGAUUUUUUCCUUGACUAUUUACUGCAACUUUUUUUUGCUCCAGACUCAGUUCAUCCCUUGAAGAAUCUCUACAGUUCUGGAUGUUCUAACAACGAUAGCUUUUGCCUACCCCAGCUGUCAUGAGAAUUUUUGCCAUGCUGUAGUGGGAUUUCACAGAUAUAUUCAUUCAUGGAGGUUGUGGGGUUUUUAGAUUUCAAUGGACCCUCAAUAUAUGGCUUUGUUUUUACUAUUCUCCAGAUGUAAAAUUAUUCUCCAAUUAUUCUUUUUUUGGCCAUGGAUGCAUUAGGCAACAUGCACUUCAGUAGCUUGUGGUAGCAACAGAAGCACAUUUUGAUUUGCUGUUAGGUAGCACUGUGUCCAAAAGAACUUUCAGCAGAAAUCCUCUGAAACCCUUUUCAAUAUAUAAGAAAGCUGCUCCUUGCAGAUCCAAGAAGUUCAGAGUUACUCAGUGAACAUACUGUGUGGUUGCCUCUAGGUUUGCUUUCCAGCAGAUGCCCAUUUCACCAUGUCAUCCGCUGAUUUAGACAUAAACCAUUUAAUUACAGUAAGAGCUUUCAGAAAGGUUUCUGCCCAGGUGGCCACUCUGAAGGUUAAUCUCUUGCCCAGGAUGGUUUGAAACUUGCUGUCACAAUGAUUGGAGCUUCCAACCUGAAUGGCAGUGCCAGUGCCACUAAAGUGUGGUUUCUAACAGAGUGGACAAAUGGGACUCCCAUUUGUCCUCACAGUGGUAUUUUUCAUGUUGCCCAUCUUCUGAAUAACUCUCUAGCUCAGUUGACCAACUGCAGUUACUCUGCAAAGGCAUAUUUUAUGUAUUUUUAUGGAGUCCCUCCCACUAAUAUGACUAGCUAGAUUAUCUGUAAGGCUGUGCUUGUUCUGAAACCACUAUUGAUUAAAUGCUGAGAUGAAUUUUUUUUAGAAGCUGUCAUUGGAACAUGCUUAGACUGCACUUGCUGUCAGCUUAACAGUCAUGUUUCUGUGUCUUCCUCUAAAUUCCUCUCCCAGCUGGGCUCUUUCAUAUCUUCGCAUUAAAAUAGUUCCUUCCUAAUUAGACAGAUCUCUGUCAUGAUAAUCAUCUUGAGAAUGUAUGCUGUAUUUUCAUACUGUGUAUCUUUUCACAGAUCAGACCUGUUUUAUCAUUUUUCAAAAUCCUAACUCACUGAAUAGAUCUCUCACCAAGCAAUCAUCUCCUGUAGCUGGUAAUUAGUGUCCUGUCAGCUGAUACCAGUAGGCAUUACUAUUCAUCUGCUGCCAUCAGCAAGUUCAUCUUAGAUCAUUUAGAAUUCUGAUAGAUUUGAUUCUUUUCAAAUUCCAGUUGUGAAGAUGGUAUUCCAAAGCUGAUGUGCAAACACGGGAAAAGAAAUGUUGUAGUGCAAAAAACCACAUUUGUGUGUGCAAAGGGAAUUUCUACAGAAGAGGUGUUUGUUUGCAAAUCCAUGGUCACGAAAGUAAGAGCACACACAAUCAUGAGUGAGUCUGUGAUUAUGUCUGACUAUAGAACAUAGUUGUUUGGUCAAGGCUGUAAAGAACGUCUGUUUUAAUGACAAUAAUCAGUAGUUAGAACAAAAUUGAGAUCUCUCUAUUUCUUGUAUUGCUCAGGCUAUAGUACAAGGAAUUUGUUUCCUGUUUUUAUUUUUUCAGUCUCAGAGGCUUAGCAGAAGUGUUGUCCUUCUCAAAAAUUGGAUUUAAAUAGUUCACUAAAUAGCUCAUUUUACUUUAGCUUUUUAGAAGCUGGUAAUUGUUUAUGUAAGUGUCCUUAAAAUAAAUGAUGCAAAAAUGAA
Molecule: long non-coding RNA, 7302 nt
Organism: Haemorhous mexicanus (house finch)
Lineage: Eukaryota; Metazoa; Chordata; Aves; Passeriformes; Fringillidae
Exons: 4
Source: RefSeq, a predicted model, not a curated record